This is a long non-coding RNA of Alexandromys fortis (reed vole), 4429 nucleotides long. RefSeq lists it as uncharacterized. The record is from RefSeq and is a predicted model, not a curated record. The transcript is spliced from 3 exons. NCBI's taxonomy places the organism in Eukaryota, Metazoa, Chordata, Mammalia, Rodentia, Cricetidae.
GGUACAGUAAUCCCAACACCUGGGGAUAAAGGCACCAGGAUUGGUGCAAAUUCAAGGUCAGCCUAGGAGCAAAAGGAGAUCCUGUACCAACUAUACCAACACACACAUAUAUGUGCAUGCAUAUACCAAAGAUUACAUUAUUUAAGAGGUCUGUCACACAGAUAGGUCACACGCUGAUAGGUAAGGGAAUUACGAGUAGGGAUCCAUAUCCUGAGAAACACCCCUGUUAGCAACAGCAGGAUCUAAAUUGCAUUAUCUGUAGGAGUUAGGGGGUCCAAAGGUUCACACGGAAGGCUUUAAAGCAACAGUUGAAUACAUAACGGAAGGUUUGCCAUGGAAAGCCCUGGAAUACAAGCACAACAGUCUGGACAUUGUACCAAGCUUAAGGUAAUUUUCAGCCCUGGCUGCUGAGCAGAAUUGCCUGGAGAGUGUUAAGAAGUAUACCCACAGCCCACCUCCCUCCAGGUCAAAGGUAACAGCUGUGAAUUGAAACAGGGUGAUUAUAACAAACAGUCCAGUUUAGGAAGCACAUUAAGGCCUGGGUUUAAAGGCAGUGGUUCUGAGCUUGCUACCUGUGGAAACUUCUCUUCCAACCCGAGUUAAAUAGUGUUUCCUUUGUGUUUCCUGAACAACCAGCUCACUGUAAAAUCUGUGACUUUUUUUUUUUAAACUUCUGUGAUGCUCCAUAGAACACUAAGCUACAAAAUAACUAUUCUAAGUGGCCUUUACCACAUGGCAAGGAAAUGCCCUACAUUUCACCCAUGCCCGAACUUCACAAAACUACUUUUAAGUACUCAGAGAAUCUAAGUCAUAGUAUUUAGACUAGGUGCCCGACAUUGUGACACAACCUUGUCAUUUACACAGUCACCCUCGGGAGCCACAUGAUCAGAUUAAAAACAAAACAAAACAAACAAAAAUAAAAAACCAAAGGUAUUGAUUAAGUUUUCAAGUGUUGGGCCACAUCCAUGGUUAUUCUGGGUCACACGGGCCUUUUGGUGAGACAUGCUUGACGCAGCUUUUGUUUACAACACUUGGUUUCAGAAAGUGUAAUGUAUCUUACUUAUUUUGCAACAAAUACUUUCAGUGUACUUUCCAAACAAAUGGAAACACCGCAUCUACGCAGCAAAUCAAGAGUCCUGGGGAAAGGAAAAUGUCACUAGGGUGACUGUUGAGAGGGCAGAGAUCGCAAAAAGCAAGGCAGGCUGGCCAUGAGGAAAAGGUGCUGAAAAGUCCACUCACCAUAGUUUCCUUAAGCAAUCUGCCCACUGCUACCCGUAAAGUUAGCCAGAACUGUCCUGCAUGCUACUUUAUUCUAUUUAGUAGGUAAAAUGUUACUCGAACAUUCGUUGGGAUUUGGCAGUUAGUUUUAUGUGAUCUCUUAUCUGCAGACGAGGUCAAUAAAGAAAAAAAAAUCCAUGAGAGAACGCAAUAGUCAAAGCGUCCAACCUCAGCAAGAGCCCAGAAAACUCAUGCUUGUUCAGGAAAUAGGAAAUCAGACCUAGCUAUUCGCUUGGACCAGGGCUAUUCGGCAGCAAAAAGAUGAGCUUCUAAAAAGAAAACGCCAACCUAACUCUCCGACACGGGGGUGAAAGUUACAAAAGCAGGCAGCACGAGUUUGACGAGUGGGUCAGAAGGAAAGUCAGAAGACGAGGAAAGAGAUGGAAGAGAUGGCAAAAGGUGAAGGAGGCGGGCAAAGGCCACCUGGAGAGGACCUGGCAGCCCAGUUCUUUAUGCACCCAGGACAGCAUGGGGCCUCUGUCCGCCGGUGAGAACCGGAGCGGGGCGAGCCCCCGCGGGCCUGGCACCGAGGGUACGGGCAGGCCAAGGUGAAGAAGGCGCUCGCCCCGGGUCAGUUUUGCUUCAUUUCACAAGCCAGUCUGCCUGAGACCUAGUGGUGGUGAAAUUUUCAUGAGCUCUUCAUGGCAAAUACAUAAUGGACGCAGACCUUGCUUUGUGAAAAAGUGUCUCGAGACAGAGUUUCUCUGUGUAGCUUUGGCACCUGUCCUGGAACUCGAUCUUAGACGAGGCAAGCCUCGAACUCAAAGAUUCGCCUGAAAAAUUCUUAAAUGUAGAAAAGUUUUUAAGACAGUGCCUCAUGUAUCCCAAGCUGGCAUUAAACUUACUGUGUAACCUUGAACAUUGAUACUUUCAUCUCUGUGUGUACCACCAUGUCUGGUGCUAGUGUUUCAUGCUUGCUACCAACUGAACCCAAUCCCCAAACUCACAGAAACCACUAUUUGUUUUUUAUAGCAAUAUCACACCCAGCACUCACCAAUAUGCAUACCUCUAUAGGUAGAAGGUAUACUUUAAAAAACACACACACACACACACAAUUAUACUUCAGACACUAUUUCAAAACUCUCAACAUAGCAAAGGAGACUUGACAACCAGUUUUAUAGGUACACAAGAUUCAUUCUGUAACCAGGCUCAGUAGCAAACAGCUACUCAAGAGGAGACAGGAUCUGAAGGUUUGGAGCCAACCAGCCUAAGUCCAUAGUGAGAUGAGAGGGACACAGACACAAAAAUGUCACAAAUCUUUACAGUUUCGUUUAAAAAAAAAAAAAAACAAACUUAUAUUUCCUAUGUAAUCAACACCUAGAUAGAAAUACAGAAAACUUUCUGGGUCUGUCCCCAGUCCAUACACUAUUGGAGAGAACCAUUAUUCUGUGUAUGUCAACAUAGUUUCGUUUCUAACUGCAGAAUCCUGUUCCACUCCCAUCCAAAUACUAACCAGGCCGACCCUGUUAGUUUCCAAGAUCAGAUGAGAUCGGGUGCAUUCAGGGUAUGGCCAUAGACUCUGUUCCACUCUAUAACAACAUCUAACCAAGUUUCAAUUAGAAACCACACUGCUCUGUAUUUAAUAUUAUUCCUACCUACCAUUUCAUUUUUAUUUUGGUCACUUUAGUAUUCACAUCUUGUUUAAAGAAACUAAUCUGCAUCUCCUUUAGCUUUAUUUUUCAAUUGCACUGAUAACUGACUGCGCUGCCUUAAUAUCAUCUUAGAUAUUCCUAGAGAGGAAGAACAUAUAAAAGUAACCAGCUUACCGACCACAAAUCCAAGCCAUAAUUCCCUUGGUUCAUAAAAACAAGAAAUCUCAGGUGAAAUAGCCAACAGCCUAUACUUCUCAUACUUCAAAUAUGCAUAUAAAAACAUAUAGCAACUAUCAACUGCAAAUUUGUCUACUAUAGAGAUAAGAAAAAUACAUUAUUUAUAACAGGAUAUCCUACUGCUGUUGAUAAUAAAAAUAACAACCGUAAAAAAAAUAAAAUAUUUAAAAUAGUAAACUUAAAGUUUGUUUCAACACCCAAAAUUUAAAUCCUAGAGGGUUUUGGUUUCCCACUUCAGAGUCAACUACUUAACUGUUUUUGGUAAGCUCAAUAAAAAGGGAAAACUUAGCAAAUAAAAUUUCAAACAAAAACUACAAAAUAGGACCACUGCUUUGCACAGGUCUUUCUAAUGAAGUCAGGAGAUUGAACACAGUGCAGUUGUACAAGUUUUGGAUCUCAAGGACAUUAACAUCUCAAACAAACAAGAACUGUACUACACCAUUAUUUCAUUUCUUUAGUAUCUUAAAAGGAACAAAGAGGAAAAUUUAAAGUCCCAUGUUUGUUAGAAGUUAGUUGUCGAAAAUUAAAGAACUAUACCUAUAAAAACAUCUUGAAACUGUUUAGUCCAGAACACAAUUCUAAGCUCCCAAUUGUGAGAAAUAAAAACCUUAAGGAAUCUUAAUUUUGAGCAUGCUUACUGGCCUAAACUGUAGUUUUGUCUAAAUUUGUCCAGUUCCUCAUUUCUAGACAUCUGCCUCCAUAAUGUUACAUGUAAAUAUCUGUUUAAAUAAAUAGAACCAGCUAGUGCUGGUGGCUCAGUUUGCAAUACUAGCUACUCAAAAAACUGAGGCCAAGAACAUUGUUGCCAAGUUCAAGGCUGGCCUGAGCAACAUAGAAGACCCUAUCUCAAACUAAAGUGCUGGGGGUUAUAGAUGAGCGGCUGAGUGCUUUCCUUCAGGUCCCAGAACUUCAGUAAGUAAAAGAAAGCUACUCUAAUAGUACACUUAAUAACGAGUUCAAACAGACUGAUAAGAACCCCACUGUGUGGCUCCAUUUCUACUGUCAAAUUAGGUAUCAGAAAGAUUACAUCCUAUGCCUAGAGAAACUGAACUAGAUCCAAGUUUUUUAAUCUAAACGUCCAGAAUAAUUUUGGACUCAUUAUCUUCAUUGCUAUUACUAUAACAGAACAUGACAAAUAUGUAUUGAGUAUCAAUAAGAAAGAGAGACAGCAUCAAAAAAGUCAUACACUACUAGGAAAAUAAAACUUUUCCUAAAGAUAGUUGGAUCACCUAUUUUAAAAUUAGCCAAAUGUCCCGGAUCGUGACUCAAGCGGCGCAAACAUUCCAACACAUGCAAAAAAAAAAAAAAAAAAAAAAUCAACA